This 305-nucleotide ribosomal RNA is filed under the name uncultured bacterium. RNAcentral's name for it is "bacterial SSU rRNA". It matches the Rfam family "Bacterial small subunit ribosomal RNA", at positions 333 to 635 of the family's 1533-position model. The record is from RNAcentral.
GGUUCCCUACGGGAGGCAGCAGUGAGGAAUAUUGGUCAAUGGCCGAGAGGCUGAACCAGCCAAGUCGCGUGAGGGAUGACGGCCCUACGGGUUGUAAACCUCUUUUGUCGGGGAGCAAGACCCGCCUCGUGCAGGCGGAGCGAGAGUACCCGAAGAAAAAGCAUCGGCUAACUCCGUGCCAGCAGCCGCGGUAAUACGGAGGAUGCGAGCGUUAUCCGGAUUUAUUGGGUUUAAAGGGUGCGCAGGCGGACCAUCAAGUCAGCGGUAAAAUGUCGGGGCUCAACCCCGGCCGGCCGUUGAAACUG